UAGAGACACUGACUUUUCAACAUGUUGCUGUCUGUGCUGAUGUUGCUGAUUGUGUCUGGUACACAAGGAAGUCAUUAUCUUGGCACUGUGGUGACCUACUAUACAAAGGAAACUUUUACAAAUGGUUCAGUCUCUGUGAUCGUUCGAUUUAAGUAUAACUUCAAAACCUGUGAUAAUGGUACAUUUGUUUGCACUGGCAACUGUGGUGAUGAAAGCUUAGUUGGUAAAAAAUACAAAGUUCAAACCAAUAUGUGGUGUCAGACUGAACAGAUCACAUCUCGACUGCUUCCCAACUAAUCUCCAUUUCAGCUUGUGUAUGAUAGUGGUAACUGGGUCACAAAUCUAUAUGACCUUACAUCAUGGAGAGCUGUAGCUGAAGUUGAACUGAGGAGUCGGUCCGACACCAACAAACCAAACUCAUCACCACAGACCACCAUCUUACCGGUUCUGAGGGUUCCUUCAAACUGUCUGAGAAAUAUUAAUCUCUUGGCCUUUGACCCUGAUGGAGACGAGGUUAUAUGCAGAUAUGCAAACCUUAGCAUGACAGAAUGUGCCUCACCCUGCACUCCUCCACCUGUUCUCAGCCUG
Molecule: long non-coding RNA, 588 nt
Organism: Cyprinodon tularosa
Lineage: Eukaryota; Metazoa; Chordata; Actinopteri; Cyprinodontiformes; Cyprinodontidae
Exons: 4
Source: RefSeq, a predicted model, not a curated record